Long non-coding RNA from Leptopilina heterotoma, 1039 nucleotides. RefSeq lists it as uncharacterized. Lineage: Eukaryota; Metazoa; Arthropoda; Insecta; Hymenoptera; Figitidae. The record is from RefSeq and is a predicted model, not a curated record. The transcript is spliced from 3 exons.
UAGUUUCUUCCUUUUUUAUUUAUACCGUAUGGAUGUGUAUAUAGCUCUACGCAAACACACAUAUUUACGUACCUAUACGUAUAUGUACAGUAGAACGUACGAAUGCCUUCCCCCUGAAGUUGCUGAUAGAAAUUGCAUAAGUACGGUGCAACUUGAAGUUCUAUAGUCUAUGCUUAAGCAACUGUCAUAAUAAUGAAUGUCAUCAUUGGUCAUCAGUACGCAAUGUUUAUUUUGAUUAAAUUUUACCACUCUUCACUUUUAUAUUGCAAAUAAUUAUUUACAAUUAAUUCCGAGUGUGAAUUAAUUAUAAAGUGUUGCGAAAAAAGUGCUUUAAAUAUCGCAAGGAAGAAUUACGCAGUUAAUUACAGGAAUAGAAACAUAGAAGCUGCACUGUAACGGGAGCGUCAAAACCAUGAAAUAUGGACUAUAUGGUACGACUUGGAAUGUGAAUCGAGAAAACAUCUUUCCCGGAAUUGACGGAUUUAAUAACAGCCGUGGAGAAGACAGGUGUCGGUGCUAUGGAAAUUGUCGCUAUGGAUAUAAAAUUGUGAAAAAUUGCUCGUUGACUUAGUUUUCAUGCAGUUGGAUUUGAAAUUAGAUGAUUUCAUCAAAGUUUACAACCAUUUCAUCAAAUUUGUUAUGCAAAGCUGCCAAAAAAAAUGCGUUGUCAUUGGUCUUCAAUUAGCGGGUGAAGAACAUAAUACACUGAAACAAUUGGAAUGAGAUCACGGCGAAACGAUUAUUUGAGAAGAAUUUUUUCCUUGAAAUCGCAUAUAACAUUUAAAAAUGCCACAAACAACAACUGUUAAUCGUUAUGUUGCCUACAGCGAUAAUGACGAUAAAAUGUCAAUUUCCAAUUGUCCUCAAACACAAACUCGAAAGAAGAGAAGAGAUGGUGGUGACAAUGCAAAUCUGAUAUCACAACGUCAAAUAUCUCAAGAAAGAAGAAAAUCAGAAAAAAUUCAAUUAUAGACUAAUUAAAUAAUUAAAUAUGAUUAUUUAUUGUUUUCAAAACUUUAAUAAAAUAUUUUCAGUACAA